Molecule: unclassified non-coding RNA, 286 nt
Filed under: fungal sp.
Lineage: Eukaryota; Fungi
Description: partial internal transcribed spacer region
Rfam family: Eukaryotic small subunit ribosomal RNA (bases 1-46)
Source: RNAcentral
AAGUCGUAACAAGGUAUCUGUAGGUGAACCUGCAGAUGGAUCAUUUCGAUGAAAAACCUUUUUUCUUGAGGUGUGGCUCGCACCUGUCUAACUAAACUUGAGCUACCCCCUUUUAACACGGUUGCAUCGGUUGGCUGUCCAACAGCGCGGACCUCGCGUUCGCUGCUGGAAAGGCGGUCGACACUUUUUAUACCAAAACACUUUUGAUGAUCUAGGAGUUGAAUGAAAAAAAAAGUUUAAUUUUUUAACUAAAAACAACUUUUGGCAACGGAUCUCUUGGUUCUCC